Molecule: ribosomal RNA, 478 nt
Filed under: uncultured bacterium
Lineage: Bacteria
Description: partial 16S ribosomal RNA
Rfam family: Bacterial small subunit ribosomal RNA
Source: RNAcentral
GACGAACGCUGGCGGCGUGCUUAACACAUGCAAGUCGAACGGUAAGGCCCUUCGGGGUACACGAGUGGCGAACGGGUGAGUAACACGUGGGUGAUCUGCCCUGCACUUCGGGAUAAGCCUGGGAAACUGGGUCUAAUACCGGAUAGGACUCCGGACUGCAUGGUCUGGGGUGGAAAGCUUUUGCGGUGUGGGGUGGGCCCGCGGCCUAUCAGCUUGUUGGGGGGGUGAUGGCCUUCCAAGGCGACGACGGGGAGCCGGCCUGUGGGGGUGACCCGCCACGCUGGGACGGAGAUGCGGCCCAGACUCCUACGAGAGGCAGCAGUGGGGAAUACUGCACAAUGGGCGCACGCCUGAUGCAGCGACGCCGCGUGAGGGAUGACGGCCUUCGGGUUGUAAACCUCUUUCAGCAUCGACGAAGCGAAAGUGACGGUAGGUGCAGAAGAAGGACCGGCCAACUACGUGCCCGCCGCCGCAGUAA